GAUGAACGCUGGCGGCGUGCCUAAUACAUGCAAGUCGAACGAAACUUCUUUAUCACCGAGUGCUUGCACUCACCGAUAAAGAGUUGAGUGGCGAACGGGUGAGUAACACGUGGGCAACCUGCCCAAAAGAGGGGGAUAACACUUGGAAACAGGUGCUAAUACCGCAUAACCAUAGUUACCGCAUGGUAACUAUGUAAAAGGUGGCUAUACUACCGCUUUUGGAUGGGCCCGCGGCGCAUUAGCUAGUUGGUGGGGUAAAGGCUUACCAAGGCAAUGAUGCGUAGCCGAAUUGAGAGGUUGAUCGGCCACAUUGGGACUGAGACACGGCCCAAACUCCUACGGGAGGCAGCAGUAGGGAAUCUUCGACAAUGGGCGAAAGCCUGAUGGAGCAACGCCGCGUGGGUGAAGAAGGUCUUCGGAUCGUAAAGCCCUGUUGUUAGGGAAGAAAGUGCGUGAGAGUAACUGUUCACGUUUCGACGGUAUCUAACGAGAAAGCAACGGCUAACUACGUG
Molecule: ribosomal RNA, 512 nt
Filed under: uncultured bacterium
Lineage: Bacteria
Description: partial 16S ribosomal RNA
Rfam family: Bacterial small subunit ribosomal RNA
Source: RNAcentral